AAAGACUUAGUCCUAACCUUACUGUUAACUAUCGCUAAACAUAUACAUGCAAGUAUCCGCACCCCAGUGUAAAUGCCCUUAACUUCUCAUUCGAGAUUAAAAGGAGCAGGUAUCAGGCACACUCGAUUGUAGCCCAAGACACCUUGCUCAGCCACACCCCCACGGGUACUCAGCAGUAAUUAACAUUAAGCAAUAAGUGAAAACUUGACUUAGUUAUAGCAACAUAUAGGGUCGGUAAAUCUUGUGCCAGCCACCGCGGUCAUACAAGAAACCCAAGUUAACCAAAUACGGCGUAAAGAGUGGCACCAUGCUAUCACAUCAACUAAGAUUAAAAUACAACUAGGCUGUAAUAAGCUUAAGAUGUACCAAAGGCCCCUUUAAAAAUAAUCUUAGCCCACAUACAAGACCAAUUAGCCCCCACGAAAGCCAGGACACAAACUGGGAUUAGAUACCCCACUAUGCCUAGCCUUAAAUCUUGAUACUUACCCCACUAAAGUAUCCGCCUGGGAACUACGAGCACAAACGCUUAAAACCCUAAGGACUUGGCGGUGCCCCAAACCCACCUAGAGGAGCCUGUUCUAUAAUCGAUAACCCACGAUACACCCAACCCUCCCUUGACAAAACAGCCUAUAUACCGCCGUCGCCAGCCUACCUCCAUGAGAGCCUAACAGUAGGCACAACAGCCCCCCGCUAAAAAGACAGGUCAAGGUAUAGCCUAUGGGAGGGAAGAAAUGGGCUACAUUUUCUAAACUAGAAAACUUCACGGAAUGGAGUGUGAAACCACUCCUAGAAGGCGGAUUUAGCAGUAAAGCAGGACAAUAUGAGCCUGCUUUAAGUCGGCCCUAGGGCACGUACAUACCGCCCGUCACCCUCCUCAUAAGCUACAAUCCACUAUAUACCUAAAACUAACAUCAGCCAAAGACGAGGUAAGUCGUAACAAGGUAAGUGUACCGGAAGGUGUACUUAGCACAC
RNAcentral lists this non-coding RNA (972 nucleotides) under Musophaga violacea (violet turaco). RNAcentral describes it as "12S ribosomal RNA". It matches the Rfam family "Bacterial small subunit ribosomal RNA". The record is from RNAcentral. Lineage: Eukaryota; Metazoa; Chordata; Aves; Musophagiformes; Musophagidae.